AGCGAACGCUGGCGGCAGGCCUAACACAUGCAAGUCGAACGAACUCUUCGGAGUUAGUGGCGGACGGGUGAGUAACACGUGGGAACGUGCCUUUUGGUUCGGAAUAACUCAGGGAAACUAGUGCUAAUACCGAAUGUGCCCUUCGGGGGAAAGAUUUAUCGCCAUUAGAGCGGCCCGCGUCUGAUUAGCUAGUUGGUGAGGUAACGGCUCACCAAGGCGACGAUCAGUAGCUGGUCUGAGAGGAUGACCAGCCACACUGGGACUGAGACACGGCCCAGACUCCUACGGGAGGCAGCAGUGGGGAAUCUUGCGCAAUGGGCGAAAGCCUGACGCAGCCAUGCCGCGUGAAUGAUGAAGGUCUUAGGAUUGUAAAAUUCUUUCACCGGGGACGAUAAUGACGGUACCCGGAGAAGAAGCCCCGACUAACUUCGUG
RNAcentral lists this ribosomal RNA (433 nucleotides) under uncultured bacterium. Its description in RNAcentral is "partial 16S ribosomal RNA". It matches the Rfam family "Bacterial small subunit ribosomal RNA", at positions 29 to 507 of the family's 1533-position model. The record is from RNAcentral.